CGUAAGAAGAUUGAAGAGAUUUGACCCUAGUACGAGAGGACCGGGUUGAACAAACCACUGGUGUAGCUGUUGUUCUGCCAAGAGCAUCGCAGCGUAGCUAAGUUUGGAAAGGAUAAACGCUGAAAGCAUCUAAGCGUGAAGCCAACUCUAAGAUGAAUCUUCUCUAAGCUCUCUAGAAGACUACUAGUUUGAUAGGCUGGGUGUGUAAUGGAUGAAAGUCCUUUAGCUGACCAGUACUAAUAGAGCGUUUGGCUUAUCUUUAAUAAAGCAU
RNAcentral lists this ribosomal RNA (271 nucleotides) under Campylobacter coli. RNAcentral's name for it is "partial 23S ribosomal RNA". It matches the Rfam family "Bacterial large subunit ribosomal RNA", at positions 2652 to 2925 of the family's 2925-position model. The record is from RNAcentral. Lineage: Bacteria; Pseudomonadati; Campylobacterota; Epsilonproteobacteria; Campylobacterales; Campylobacteraceae.